GAUGAACGCUGGCGGCGUGCCUAAUACAUGCAAGUCGAGCGAACAGACGAGGAGCUUGCUCCUCUGACGUUAGCGGCGGACGGGUGAGUAACACGUGGAUAACCUGCCUAUAAGACUGGGAUAACUUCGGGAAACCGGAGCUAAUACCGGAUAAUAUAUUGAACCGCAUGGUUCAAUAGUGAAAGACGGUUUUGCUGUCACUUAUAGAUGGAUCCGCGCCGCAUUAGCUAGUUGGUAAGGUAACGGCUUACCAAGGCGACGAUGCGUAGCCGACCUGAGAGGGUGAUCGGCCACACUGGAACUGAGACACGGUCCAGACUCCUACGGGAGGCAGCAGUAGGGAAUCUUCCGCAAUGGGCGAAAGCUUGACGGAGCAACGCCGCGUGAGUGAUGAAGGUCUUCGGAUCGUAAAACUCUGUUAUUAGGGAAGAACAAAUGUGUAAGUAACUAUGCACGUCUUGACGGUACCUAAUCAGAAAGCCACGGCUAACUACGUG
Molecule: ribosomal RNA, 497 nt
Filed under: uncultured bacterium
Lineage: Bacteria
Description: partial 16S ribosomal RNA
Rfam family: Bacterial small subunit ribosomal RNA
Source: RNAcentral